This 251-nucleotide ribosomal RNA is filed under the name uncultured bacterium. RNAcentral's name for it is "partial 16S ribosomal RNA". It matches the Rfam family "Bacterial small subunit ribosomal RNA", at positions 28 to 292 of the family's 1533-position model. The record is from RNAcentral.
AGCGAACGCUGGCGGCAUGCUUAACACAUGCAAGUCGCACGGUCGGGUUUCGGCCCGGCAGUGGCGGACGGGUGAGUAACGCGUAGGUAUCUAUCCUUGGGAUGGGGGACGAACCGUCGGGAAACGUAACGGCUAAUACCGCAUGACGACCGAGGUCCAAAGGCCGCGAGGCCGUCUGGGGAGGAGCCUGCGUCCGAUUAGCGUAGUUGGGUGGGGUAACGGCCUACCAAGGCGGUGAUCGGUAGCUGGUC